UUGGAGGGCAAGUCUGGUGCCAGCAGCCGCGGUAAUUCCAGCUCCAAUAGCGUAUAUUAAAGUUGUUGCAGUUAAAAAGCUCGUAGUUGAAUUUCGGGAUCAAUAUGUCGGUCGUGCCUUGGUACGUACUGGUAUCAUUGGUCUCUCCUUUCUGACGAACCAUGAUGUCAUUAAUUUGGUGUUAUGGGAGGUUAGGACUGUUACUUUGAAAAAAUUAGAGUGUUUAAAGCAGGCUUUAGCUUGAAUACAUUAGCAUGGAAUAAUGAAAUAGGACGUUCGAACCUAUUUUGUUGGUUUCUAGGAUCAACGUAAUGAUUAAUAGGGAUAGUUGGGGGCAUUAGUAUUCAAUUGUCAGAGGUGAAAUUCUUGGAUUUAUUGAAGACUAACUACUGCGAAAGCAUUUGCCAAGGAUGUUUUCAUUAAUCAAGAACGAAAGUUAGGGGAUCGAAGACGAUCAGAUACCGUCGUAGUCUUAACCAUAAACUAUGCCGACUAGGGAUCGGAUGAUGUUAAUUUUUUAAUGACUCAUUCGGCGCCUUACGGGAAAC
Molecule: ribosomal RNA, 548 nt
Filed under: uncultured Glomus
Lineage: Eukaryota; Fungi; Glomeromycota; Glomeromycetes; Glomerales; Glomeraceae
Description: SSU rRNA
Rfam family: Eukaryotic small subunit ribosomal RNA
Source: RNAcentral